RNAcentral lists this long non-coding RNA (2904 nucleotides) under Homo sapiens (human). Its description in RNAcentral is "HSALNT0088999". The record is from RNAcentral. Lineage: Eukaryota; Metazoa; Chordata; Mammalia; Primates; Hominidae.
CUGAAAGUUAAAAUUUUAGCCAGUUAAGAGCCACAGUUUCCAACAUGCAGGAGGAAUGAACUGCCCUUUAAAAGUAAUCACCUCUUUCCAGCCUGCGGUUCUGAUGAGGUUCUUUUGCUGUAAGGAAUAGUAACUCACACAUCUGCUUUAUUCUUUUCAGUUGUUCUUGUGUCUGUUUCCUGAGAGGAAAAAUCUGCUUGUUUAACUCACUUUGUCAUAUCAGACCGCAUCACACGUCACUGGCAAGCCAGGGAGUCAUCUGCCUUUGGCUCCGGGGUGCCUUGUGGCUGGUCGGAAGUCAGCAGCAUCAAGCAGUGUGAACAUUAACCCCCGGCGCCCCUUUCGCUGUAUUGCACAGUUGCUUAAGAGCAUUGGGUCAACAGUCAGACUGUUUGGGGUCAAAUCCCAGCUCCUCCACUAGCUGUGUGACCUUGGGCCAUCUCUAACUAAACUUGUUUAUCUUUAAAACAGGUAUAAUAAGGCCAGUGUCACAGAGUUCUUAGGAAAAGUAACAAGUCAAUGGAAUAAAAGGAAUUGUACUGAGAAGAGGCUCUCUCGGAGACUCUCAAGAAGCUGUGUCAGGACUACCAGUCAGAGGCCUUUUUAACUCAGAAAACAUUUAAAGUUUUUUUUUUUUUUUUCAAUGGGAAAAUAAGUAAAUAAGUAAAAUUUCUCAACUUCGCAUUCGAGAAGUUCUGCUGGCACUCACUACCUUUGAGAGACUAUCUCUGGGCAAUGUCACACUGUCCUAUUAGACAUCUGAAAAUAAAAUUCACCUGUGCCUUUCCCUUACCCCCUCAAUCACCCCUCUGCCCUUGGAAUUCAGGUAACAGAAACACAAAUGUUAUAAAUUUGGCAGUGGCCAACUUUCCUGAGAAAUAUGGUUUGGCAUUCAAAGGAAUUUGGCAAUUUGUACUCAGUCUUUUUAAAUGGCAUUUACUGCUAACCUUGACAUAAUUCAGGUACAAGACUUCAGAUUCAUCUGAAUCAACUUCAGGUUUCUUGUUUUUAUGGACUUCAAGCAGCUGCUAUCCACAGACCAAAACACACAAUUCUUAUGCUGGAUACCCUCAAGUUUUUGGCUUUUAAGCAAGUAAUAACUCCAGUCUGUGCUCCAUUUUAAUCAAAAUGAUAUAAUUAUGAGUCUGAAAUAAGAAAACUUGAAACUCAGGGAAACAUUUAAAGCAGACAUUUAACUUCUUCAAAAACAACAGAAACGAAGGUAAAUCUAUUUAUCAAGGUUAUAAAACUUUUGAGUUAUCUGAUCAUGGUGUAUUUCUUCCUGAGAAAAAUUGCAUUUACAUGCACAUACCCAAAACUUUGUCUUAGCUUCAUGGCCUUAUCCGUCUCUUUGUAAUUCAAUCCUUUCAAAUAUUUACCAGACAUAAGAAAAUGUUGUAAGUCACAUAUAAAUUGGAGGUAAAUUUCUGGAGUUGCAUGAAUGUAAUAGCUAGUGAAACCUAACAGAUAAAGCAGACAUAAUUGAAGACCACCCAAAAAGCAAAAUUCAGUUACCGAUCACUUCACAAGAGACUGCUUAAGGAGAUCCUCAUGACUGCCUGCCUUGCCCAAAAUGUUCUUGAAUCUUAUCAAUGUGCCAUCACUAUGAUAUUUUUUAAUAUGAUCACUUUUUAAAUAUUUACACAAUCACAUGACCUUCAGUUUUUAAAUCUCAAAAACGGUUAUAGGGCCAGGCGUGGUGGCUCAUGCCUGCAAUCCCAGCACUUUGGGAGGCCGAGGUGGGCGGAUCACAAGGUCAAGAGAUCGAGACCAUCCUGGCUAACACAGUGAAACCCCGUCUCUACAAAAAAUACAAAAAAUUAGACGGGCGUGGUGGCAGGUGCCUGUAGUCCCAGCUACUCGGGAGGCUGAGACAGGAGAAUGGCGUGAACCCAGGAGGCGGAGCUUGCAGUGAGCCGAGAUCGUGCCACUGCUCUCCAGCCCGGGCGACAGAGCGAGACUCCAUCUCAAAAAAACAAACAAACAAACAAAAAAAGGUUAUAAUAUGCCAUCUUUGCAGGGUGGUUGUGAGCGUCAAAUGAAAAAUGUCUAUAAAAUGCCUGGCAGGGCCAGCGUGGUGGCUCGCGCUGGUAAUCCCACCAGUUUAGGAGGCCGAGGUGGGUGGAUCACCUGAGGUUAGGAGUUCGAGACCAGCCUGACCAAUAUGGUGAAACCCUGUCUCUACUAAAAAUACAAAAAUUAGCCAGGCGUGGCAGCAUGUGCCUGUAGUCCCAGCUACUUGGGAGGCUGUGGCUGGAGAACUGCUUGAACCCAGGAGGCAGAGGUUGCAGUCAGCUGAGAUUGAGCCACUGCACUCCAGCCUGGGCAACAGAGCAAGAUUCAAAAAAAAAAGAAAAAAAAAAAUGCCUGGCAGAAUAAUUAGCAAAGAGUAAGUUUGCAAAUGUUUAAGGUUCAUUUUGAAGAAGACAUUUUCAAUAGUUAAACAGACCCACAGGGAAGUGUAAGACAAAAACUAUAAUAUGUACUUUGAUAUACUCUAACCAAAUUCAUUAUAUCUCAUUCCUUGGUACUCCACAGAUAUUCCUUAUUAUUUAGCAAUAAAAUCAUCUUGUUCUAACUUCUUCAAAUACUUCUGAAUCAAAAAUAAACUUACUUUUUGCUACCUGAAAGAACAUGGUGAGAUUUAAUUAACAAUGUGUAAAAUGCUUUGAAAUUAUGCAUUAAUGAUGCCACAAAUAUUCAGCUAUGUUUCUAUAGUUGGGAAACAAGAAUGCAAAAAAAAAUUCAAAUGAACUGUUUACUGAUAAAAAAUUCUUAAGCAUUGAAAAUUAUUUAUUUAUUUAUUUAUUUAUUUAUUUAUUUAUUUAUUUAUUUUGAGACACUUUCACUCUGUCACCCAGGCUAAAGUGCAGUGGCACAAUCUCGGCUCACUGCAACCUCUGC